This 22885-nucleotide long non-coding RNA is filed under the name Gossypium barbadense (sea-island cotton). RNAcentral's name for it is "long non-coding RNA (GBAR_LNC016786)". Lineage: Eukaryota; Viridiplantae; Streptophyta; Magnoliopsida; Malvales; Malvaceae. The record is from RNAcentral.
AACAAGCUCAAAUUCCUUCUUUUCAUAUUCAUCUCUUUCAUUUUGAAUUGCAACUUUAUCCUGCCUAAAUUCCUCAACAAUGAACCACCCAUCAGGACAGCCUCAAAAUGAACUUCCUUGGUCCGCCGGAUUCUGAGAUUGUUGCUCUGACCUGAAAACUUGUAACCCUUUCUUCUUUCUUCAAUAUCAGUUGUGUCUUUUUAAUUAUAUGAAUUAGUUUAUCAAUUAAAUAUAUGGACAUUUCAGGUUGCAUUUCAUACUGGUGCCCAUGCAUCACCUUUGGCCAGAUUGCUGAGAUUGUUGAUAAAGGGUCGACUUGUAAGUUAUUAAUUUCUAAAUUGAAAUCUUAUCAUCUUAGGUUUGCAGACAUAUAUAUAUAUUUAAAGAGAUAUUAUGUAAUUAAUAAUAAUGUUGAAAAACACUGUUGGAUGGUGCAGCAUGUGGGGCAAGUGGGGCACUAUACACAUUAAUAAUGUUCAUCACCGGGUGUGGGUGCUUAUAUUCUUGCUGCUACCGAUCCAAACUGAGAAAGCAGUAUAACUUGAAAGGAGGCGAUUGUGGCGAUUGCAUGCGUCAUUUCUGCUGCGAGCCUUGUGCCUUGACACAAGAGUAUCGUGAGCUCCAGAACCGUGGAUUCGACAUGUCUAUCGGUAUGUCUACAUACCAAUAUUAUACCCCUUUUAAUUAUUCUUAAUAUAACUUCAAGUAUAUUAAUUGAGUAGCUGUAAACAAAUAUCUCCGAAUAAAUAUGUUGGUAAUGAUGAGAUAAAUUAUUGUUUGAGGUCAUUAAUUUUGUGGGGGUAUAUUUAUAUAUGCAGGUUGGCAUGCAAAUGUGGAGAAGAACCCAGGGCUGGCAAUGGCUCCAGCGGUAGAAAAAGGCAUGAGCAAAUAGAUGAUGAUGAUGAUGAGACCACUGCAUUAAUAUCAUCUUUACAUGUAACACUUAAUUCCUUGGCUUUCCAUAAUUGGUUGAUUGUACGGCUUGCCAAUUGAAUUUCAAGUUAUGUAUGUUUGUGAUUGUCAAAUAUAUUAAUAAAAAGUGUUACUAUUCAUGUUAGAUCUUCAUGAAUAAGAAUGAGAAUCGAAAAUAACUUGUAAUAUUGUGUGUGCAUGUUUGGUAUUUAGGUGAAAUACUUAGAAAGAGAGGUUGGAUUAAAUUAAUUUUUUAUUAUCAAAAUGGAUGAUUUUAAUUUUUAUAUUAAUAAAAAGAAUUAAAUAAAAUUAAUAUUUAUUGUUUUAGAAAAUGACAUCAAAUUAUUGUUUUUUAUAGUUCAAUCCAAAUAAAAUAUCUACAAAAUCAUUAAAAACUUUUAAAAUGUGACUUUGUUAAAUAGUAAAUAGCAUUUUUUUAAAAGGGUUCAUAUAUAUCGUGAUACCUAAAGUUGGCAACUUCUACUUAGUAUCUAAAUCGGUACAUAAACUUGAAAAUUGUAAGUCAACUUCGUAUUUUUAUAAGUAUGAUGAUGUUGGUGUAGUGUGAGGAAGAAGACUUGAAUGGGUUUGAUUAUUUUUAAUAAUACAGGAAUUUACAUAUUAUAAGUAAAUAGACACUCACAUUCUUUAUGUAUUAUAAGGAAGAAGACUAAGUCGAUCUACUUUGUAAUCUCAUCAAUCUUAAUUUUCUCAAUUGUUAAGGGAGUUCAAAUGAAAUACAAAAUUUUGGUAAAAAAAAGUAUCCAAUUUUGUGAAUAAAAAAUAUAUGGUAAAAAAGAUUUGGUAUCGAUACUUCGGCGCGGGUAUCAAUACUCGAUACAUUGCUUUUGGUUGGAAAGUAGUGUCUGGAACGGCCAUGGGAUGUGUUGUUUUCCAAACCGGUAAGGCGAAAAGGUUUGUGAAUUUGGUUGAAGACCAACAUGAGAAGAGGCGAAGAAGAAAACCAAAAUAUAGCAAUCGCAUCAAUGGAUGAAGAAGGAUCUAGUUGGUGCAAAUGAAGUUAAAGCAUUUGUGCUGUGUCUUCAUAAUUUCUUGUUUAGUAGUCUGUCAGAAAGUUUUUCCUAUGGUGAAAAGUUGCAUUGGUAUGUGUCUGUCUUUAUGAUUGUACCAAUUCCUCUGUAUUUCAUUGCAUUUCGUACUAUUUGUAAGGGUUUAGUUCGAGUGUAACAUCUUGUAUGGUGCAACUAUGUAUGUCUUCUUUCUUGAUUAUUGAAAUUAUAAUCAAAAUUAAUACAUGUUCUUUUUAUUAGCUUAAGGGCGUAAAAACACUUCAAAAUUUUCAAAAAAUAAAAUAAAAUUUUAAGUCCCUCUUUUUUUUACACUCAAUUGAAAUUUUUAAAAUGUAUCAAAAAUAUCUUUACAGUUCUUCAAAAAAAAAAACAAUUAAACCCCUAUUUUUUUUCCGCUCAAUUGGGUACUUGAACUUUCAUAAUGCAUCAAAAAUGCCUUAAAUUUUUUUCAAAAAAGCAAUUAAGCCCCUACUCUUAUUAAAAAUUAGAAAAAAAUCAUAAAAAUAAUAAAUUUUAGAAAAAAUUAUUAAAUUUUAAUAAAAAUUUAAAAUUUUAUUAAAAAUUAGAAUUUUUUUUUAGAAAAAUCGUCAAAAAAUAAAAAAUUAUAAAAUCCAUCAAAAAGUUUUAACAAUUAACUUUAACUAUUGAUCGUUAAAGUUAACGACCUCUAGUUUUUUCAAUUAAAGUCAUUAUGUGUCGCAACUCAACGUGACAUGUAGCGAAAAUAGAUAAAAAAGUAAAAAUCAAUAAAAGUUAUAGAAAAAUUAUAAAAUAUUUCUUUUGGUAGAAUAAUUUUUAUAAAUUUUUUUUACAAAAUUUAUAUUUCUUUACAUUUUGUAUAAUUUUCUUAUAACUUUAUAAAAUUUUAUAAAUUUUUAUAUUUCUAUAUAUUUUAAAAUUUUUUAAAAUUUUUAUAAAAUUUUACAAUUUUUAUAUAUUUUUAAUAAAUUUUUAAUAUUUGAUUUUUUAUUAAAAUUUAAUAAUAUUAUAGAUUUUAUUGAUUUUAAUUUUUUAUCUAAUUUUUAAUAAAAUUAGGGGGUUAAUUGCUUUUUUUUUAAGUUUGAGGGUCUUUUUGAUGCAUUUUGAAAGUUCAAGUACCCAAUUGACUGCAAAACAAAAAGAAAAAAAGUAGGGGCUUAAUUGCUUUUUUUGAAAAUGUUUGAGGGCUUUUUUGAUGUAUUUUGAAAGUUCAAGUACCCAAAUGAGUGCAUAAAAAGAACAGGGGUUUAGUUGCUAUUUUGAAAAAGUUUGAGGGCUUUUUGCACCUUUAAACCUCUUUUCUUUUUCUAAAUUUAAUUUAGAACCAACUUUGUGUAAAGACUUGGGAAAUUUAAUUAGCAAAAUUUCUUUCCAUGUAAAAAUUUCCCCUAUUUCUUGUUUGAAUUUAAAGCAAUACAAUAUUUUUCUAGCAAAUAAUAGAAAAUGACAGUCAAUUAAUUCCAGCAAUACAACAUUUCCAGUCUGGUGGAAAACAGCUAGGGACCAAAUUUUUAAAGUGUUGUUUACUACACACUUAGGGACCAUAUAUGUAUAUAUAUAUAUUCCAGUCUGGGUCUUUGUCGUGUUUUGUUGGUUGGCUAUGGCCUUCUUGUUGUUUCAUGGCCACUGCCCGUGAAUUAAGUCAUAUGUGGCCUUGUUUGCUAGACCUUAGUUGCUAAGUUAAAGGGAGUGAAUAGAGCACCAUAUUUCUUCUUCUGCGUGGAAAAUAAGUUGGCAUUAUGCCAAAUUCCACAUUCAUACAUAGAAAGGAAGCAAGGCCAAGUCAUUAUACUUUGUAAUCUCAUCAAUUCUAAUUAUUUCACUUCUUCAUUCUUUAGGGAGUUCAAGUGAAAUACAAAUUUUUCCACAUCCAAUCUCAUAAAUAAUCCGUCUUUGAACUUUCACAAAAAAAUAUUAAAUACCCAUUCACUUUAAUUCUACUAUUCUUAAAUCAUUCAAGUUUUGUGGAAAAUAUGCUUCUUGGAUAAAAUUAUUCAACACACAUGCCUUGAAUUUUAUGCAAUAAAAUAAAUCAAUAUAGGCCACACAUGCUUUGAAUAUUUAAGUAGUCCACAAUUUUGUUCGUUUGUGUGCAAAAUUCUACAUUGCUUGACAGCCAUACAUUCUAAGUAAAUAGACACCCACAUUGUUUACGUAUUAUGAAGAAGAAGACUAAGUCAGUCUACUUUGUAAUCUCAUCAAUCUUAAUUUUCUCAGUUAUUUAGGGAGUUCAAAUGAAAUACAAAAUUUUGGGAAAAAAAAUGUAUCCAAUUUUGUGAAUGAAAAAUAUAUGGUAAAAAGGAUUUGGUAUGGAUACUUCGGCUCGGGUAUCAAUACUCAGGGUAAGUUUAUCGAUACAUUGCUUUUGGUUGGAAAGUGGUGUUGAUAGGUGAUGACUAAAAUUUGAUAAAUUUGAAAAGUACAUGAAAUUUAACGAUUAUUGUUUGGUGAUGACUAAAAUUUUAAAAUUUGAAAAGUACAUGAACUAAAAAUGACCAAAUUAAAGUAUAAAGAUUAAGUCCACAACUUUUGCAAAGUACAAGGACUAAUAGCAGAAAUUAACCUAAAUUUCAUAUGGGUCAAUUACAAAAAUAAUCACUAAACUAUUCCUUUGGUUCUAUUCUAGUCACUCAACUAUAGAGGUGCUCAUGGGCUGAGCCAGGUCAAGCCUAAGUAUGAUAUUAAUGUAUUUUAUACUUGCUCAAGCUUGGCUCGGCCUGAAAUAUGAGCUUAAAAUUUUGCCUGAACUCAUCCAUAUUUGCAAAAGACUAACCCAAGCUCAUUUUAAGCAUGCCUAUAUAAUUUUUAAUUUUUUUUAAAUAUUUAUAUUAUAUUAUAUUAAUUAAUAAUUUAAACAUUUUUUAUUUAUUAAAAUUUUUUAUAGUCAUUUUAACAUUAUUUUAAUGUUUACAUUAUAGUAUUAUUAUAUAUUUAGUAUAAGUAUUUUUUUAAUAUGUUCUAAUUUAUAUAAUAUAAAGUAUUAUACACUUAAAAACGGGCCGGGCUGGGCUUGAGCUUUAGUUGUUACUCAACUAUUAAUUUUUUCGAUUUAGUUGUUAACCUUUUCAAAAGUAAAUAUUUUAGUCAGUCUCCUAUUAGUUGUUGUUAAAUGAGUGACGGAAAGCUAAUGUGAGCUUUUUUUAUUAGUCUAAUAACAAAUUUAGCCCUCCAAUGUUUACACAUUCUAUCAAUUUGAUCGUAAAUAUAAAAAAAAAAUCAACAAAUUUAGCCCUGAAUAUUAACAAAACUUGUCAUUUUAGUUCAAAUUCUAAAAAAUUUAAUAAAUUUAACCUUUAAUAUUUUCAAAAAAAUAGCAAUUUAGUUCUAAUUCUAAAAAUUUUAAUAUAUAUAUUUAAAAAAAUAUUUCUAAUCCUCUGUCUCACCCUUUGAUUUUUUAGAUGAGCUAAAAUCAAAAUAUAUCAUUAUGUCUUUUUGUUUUAAUGCUAAAAGAGAUAAAAAAAAAUGGAAAGCUAAAAUGGCUUUUCGUUUGUGAAGUUAAAAAAUGCCAAAUAAAUUAUUAUGUCUUUUUAGUUUUAAUUUUUUACUUGAUUAAAAGAGAAAUAAUUAACGAAUGAAAAAUAAUUAUUCACAAAUAAAUUUAUCAGAAUUUAUAACAAAUGAGAUUUUAAAUUUGAAUUUAUAAAUCAAAAUUUAUAUAUAUAUAUAUAUAUAUAUAUAUAUAAAAGAAAACACAUUUUUAUGAAAUAUAAGAUUUUGUUAAAAGAAAGAGCAUAUAAAAGCAUACACGUUUUUAUGAAAUACAAGAUUUUGCUAAAAGAAAAAGCAUCCAAUUUUAAGAAUGAAAAAUAUGUGGUAAAAGCAUCCAUAACUUUUCAAUGUAAAAGAAAAAAAAACUGUAACACCAAUGUUGUGGUAUUAUUUGUUGCCUAUAAAUACCAUUCCUAUCCUUCAUCUUCCUCUACCAACAUAACAUGGCCUCCUCCUAUCUCUUUCUCUUUCUCUGCCUAUUCCUCUUCUUUCCCCAUCUUUAUGCUUCUUUUUCUUCUUCAGGAUCUCACUCCUGCUCUUCACUAAUCCAGUUUAAGGACUCUUUUUCCAUAACAGAGGAUGCUUCUUCUGAUUGCAAUGAGAUUGCUGGCCAUAAAUUUUAUCCCAAGACCAAUUCAUGGAAGGAGGGUACAGAUUGCUGCUCAUGGGAUGGGGUCACUUGCGACCACCUAAAUGCUCAUGUUAUUGCCCUUGACUUGAGCUGCAGUUGGCUAUAUGGCAACUUCCCUUCCAAUUCCACUCUCUUCCUUCUUCCUCACCUUCAAAAACUCAACCUUGCCUACAAUUAUUUUAAUCUUUCCAAAAUUCCAUCCGAGUUCGGUCGGUUUACAAGCCUAUUCUACCUCAACCUUUCUUAUACAUGGUUUGCAGGAGAAGUCCCAUCCCAAGUCUCCCACCUGUCAAAAUUGGUUUCACUUGAUCUCUCCUUUUGGAUUGAUAACUAUGAGCAACUUACAAUUGACAAACAUGCUCUGGAGGGACUUGUUCACAACCUAACCGAGGUCAGACAUCUGUUUUUGGAUGGAAUCAACAUGACUUCUGUUAAUGCUCAUGUCUUCAUGAAUCUAUCCUCUUCUCUAAGAUCUCUCAGUCUUGCUGGUUGUGAUUUGCAAGGAAAAUUCCCAAAAAACAUUUUUGAUUUGCCAAACCUCAAUCUCCUCAACUUGGGAGGCAACCAAUUGAGUGGACAAAUUCCAAGAUCAUUGGGGAACCUCUUGCAACUCACUGUUUUAGACUUGUGGGGGAACAAAUUGAGUGGACAAAUUCCAUUGUCAAUUCUAAACCUAACGCAGUUGGAAUACUUGGUAAUAUCUGAAAAUUCUUUAGAAGGUUCUAUUCCAGAUGAGGUAACCGCUGUUCCGAAUCUAAUAUAUUUAGUCUUAUAUGACAAUUUACUCAAUGGAACACUUCCGUCAUGGUUGUAUACUGCUCCCUCCUUAAAGGGUAUAAUUCUCUCUCAAAAUCAAUUCAGUGGGCAUAUCAAAGAAUUCCAAACCAAAUCACUAGAAUAUUUAGAUCUAGAAAAUAAUAAACUCCAAGGUCCCCUUCCAUCUUCAAUAUUCCAACUUCUCAAUCUUACCGGGCUCCUUUUAUCCUCAAAUAAUCUUAGUGGUGUCAUAGAGUUUCGCAUGUUCUCAAACCUUCCAAAUCUCAAAUAUCUUUACCUUUCAUAUAACAACCUAUCCUUAACAUCUAAUUCUACUUCUACUGUUAAUCAUAUAUUGCCUAAUCUUACAGACGUACUUUUGUCAUCUUGCAAUCUUAGUGAAUUCCCCCAGUUUUUAAAAGGGCUUAAAAGUUUGGAAAGCUUAGACCUCUCUUGCAACAAAAUUGAAGGCAAGAUUCCACAGUGGAUGCAAGAGGUGGGGAAUGUCUCUUUGACUUACUUCAACGUAUCUCACAACUCUUUGACAGAAGUUGAGCACUUUCCAUGGAAGAAUAUUGAAAGGCUUGACUUAAGCUCCAAUUUGAUCAGUGGAAAUCUUCCGAUUCCAGCUUCGACCAUCAGUGUCUUUUUUAUCUCAAAUAAUAGUUUCAAUGGAGAGGUCUCUUCUUUAAUAUGCAAUGCCAGUUCUCUUCGAAUUCUUGAUUUGUCCCACAAUAACUUGAGUGGACCAAUUCCGCAAUGUUUUGGAAAUUUGAGUGACAGCCUUGAAAUCUUGAAUCUGAAGAAGAACAAGUUCUAUGGGACGAUUCCUCCAAAAUUUGCAAAGGGAUGCCGAUUGACUAAUUUCAACUUAAAUGGAAAUCUGUUAGAAGGGCCAUUGACUCCAUCCAUCCUUAAUUGUAGGGGUCUGGAAGUGCUAGAUCUUGGUAACAACAAGAUCAAUGAUACAUUUCCUCAUUGGUUGGGAAGUCUUCCACAGCUACAAGUUCUUGUAUUGAAGUCAAAUCAUAUGCAUGGUUCCUUAUGUGUCAAUAGCUCUAAGUCUAGCCCUUUUUUCUCUAAAAUCCAAAUUUUUGACCUCUCAAGUAACUAUUUUUCUGGACCCCUACCAGUGAGAUACAUCAACAGCUUCAAGGCUAUCAUAAAUGUAGAGAAGAUUGGUAGUACAGUGUCGUACAUGGGGGUGAAUGAUGAUGGAGGUGACUUCUAUACCUAUUCCAUUGGAAUUGUCAUGAAAGGGAGAGAUAUGGAAUUGGUGAAAAUUUUCACCAUGUGGAUGAUCAUUGAUCUAUCAAACAAUCAGUUUGAAGGGGGUAUUCCAGAGGUUUUUGGGAAGCUUAACUUACUGAAAGGGCUCAACCUUUCUCAUAAUAACCUUAAUGGUGGUAUCCCCACCUUAAUAGGGAAUUUGACAAGUCUUGAAUGGUUGGACCUAUCUUCAAACAGGUUGUCUGGGACGAUUCCAAAUAGAUUGGCAGAUCUGCCAUUUCUUUCGUCCUUCAAUGUUUCUGAAAAUCAACUCCAUGGUCAGAUUCCUCAAGGCAAACAGUUCAACACAUUUGGAAAUGAUUCAUAUGAAGGAAACAAGGCAUUAUGUGGAUUUCCGGUCUCAAAAGGUUGCAACAUCAUUGAGCCAGCACCUCCAAAUGUGCUUGAAAAAGAUGGCUCAAAAUCAAACAUUACUUUUGGUUGGAAAGUGGUGUUGAUAGGUUAUGGAUGCGGAGUGGUGUUCGGAAUGUCCGUGGGAUAUGUUGUUUUCCAAACUGGUAAGCCGAAAUGGUUGGUGAAUUUGGUUGAAAUCCAACAUGAGAAGAAGCGAAGAAGAAAGUCAAAGGAUGGCAGUCGCAGCAAUGGACGAAGAAGAAUCUAGUUAGUGGAAAUGAUGUUCAAGUGUUGAUGUUGUAUCUUCAUAAUUUCUUGUUUUGAAGUCUGUCAAAUUUUUUUCCUAUCGUGAAAGGCUGCAUUGCCAUGCAUCUGUCUUUUUUAUUGUAACCAUUCAUCUAUAUUUCAUUGCAUUACGUAGUAUUUGUAAGGGUUUGUUUUAAAUGUAACAUUUUGUAUGGUUCAACUAUUUAUGUCUCUUUCAUGAGUUUCAUUUUUGAGUCUCAAUAAUCUCUGCAUUCAAGAUUUUGUCAGCUUAUUAAUUGGUGGAUCAAUAAUCUUCAUGCUCAUCUCAUCAUCUUUUUCUCGAGUUAAACACAGUCACUACUAUAAUAAUUUCUUCUGUGUGGAAAAUAAUUUGGCAUUCUGCAAAUUUCCACAAUGCUUGUGGAUUACCUCUGGUUGACGGCUAUACAUAUAAAGGAAGGAAACAAGACUAUGUCAAAAUUUCCAAAAAUCAGUCAUUCAUUUUUGAACAAUUAAACAUUCCUAUUCUAUUUUUCAAAAUUGUAAAUCCUCAAAUAAUGUAAAUUAGUCCUAAAACUCAAGUUUUGAAAUCUUUACAAUUUAACCCCUUAUAGUUUCAAACUUUACUAUUUUAUGCUCAACUUUCUAAAUCUUCAUAUUUCAUGAUCAUAUAAUUUAGUUAUUACAUCAAUAUUUCAGAUUUCACUACUCAAACCCUUACUUCAUUUUGGUCCUUACUUCAAUUUUUUCAAAUUAAAUCAAUUUUCAAUUUGACUGCAUUGAUGUGAAAUUGAGGGAGCACUAAACAAUGUUGAUGCGAGUUUAGGUAAAAUUGGUGGAUCCCAUCUCCUUAGUAAUUUCUUUAUGGAAGUAGCUGCUUUCACACUGCAAACUUGAAUAGUUUGUGGUGGACGAUGAUGAAUCAUUUGACAAUCAAACACAUAAUUUUUAAACACAAAAUUAACGAUAUUUUGAAAUCAUUAUUGAAAUUAUAAUCAAAAUUAAUACAUGUUCUUUUUAUUAGCUUAAGGUCGUAAAAACCCUUCAAAAUUUUCAAAAAAAAAAAAAAUUUAAGUCCCUCUUUUUUUUUUUCUAAUUUUUAAUAAAAGUAGGGGCUUAAUUGCUUUUUUUUUUUUAAGUUUGAGGGUCUUUUUGAUGCAUUUUGAAAGUUCAAGUACCCAAUUGAGUGCAAGAAGAAAGUAGGGGCUUAAUUGCUUUUUUUUAUGUAUUUUGAACGUUCAUGUACCCAAAUGAGUGCAUAAAAAAAACAGGGGUUUAGUUGCUAUUUUUGAAAAGGGUUUGAGGGCUUUUUGCACCCUUAAACCUCUUUUCUUUUUCUAAAUUUAAUUUAGAACCAACUUUGAGUAAAGACUUGGGAAAUUUAAUUAGCAAAAUUUCUUUCCAUGUAAAUAUUUCCCCUAUUUCUUGUUGGAAUUUAAAGCAAUACAAUAUUUUUGUAGCUAGUAACAGAAAACGACAGUCAAUUAAUUCCAAGCAAUACAAAAUAUCCAGUCUGGUGGAAAAUUUGUUUGUUAGAUUCUAUUAUUCAACUUUUAAGGCAUAAGUCUGAAUAUAGGGACUAAAUUUUUAAAGUGUUGUUUAUUUUAAAAUCUAUUAAUAUAUACACACUUAGGGACCAUAUAUAUAUAUAUCAUAUAUAUAUAUAUAUAUUCCAUUCUGGAUCUUUGUCGUGUUUUGUUGGUUGGCUCUGGCCUUGUUGUUGUUUCCACUGCCUGUGGUCUCUGUUUCUAAGUCAUAUGUGGCCUUGUUUGCUAGACCUUAGUUGCUCUUCACAUGUCUUGUAUUUUGUCAAGUUAAUUGAAAUGGAAAAUAAAAGUGUUGGCAUUACAGAUUAGAGUAAAAGGAAUUAGUGUUGAAGUUGGGGUUGUUCAAUUGUUGGAAUUCAUGUGUGUAUUUUUUUGAGUAUCUGGGUCUUUGUCGUGUUUUCUUGGUUGGCUAUGGCGGCCUUCUUGUUGUUCCCACUGUCUGUGGUAUUUGUUUCUAAGUCAUAUGUGGCCUUGUAUGCUAGACCUUAGUUGCUAAGUUAAAGGGAGUGAAUAGAGCACCAUAUUUCUUCUUCUGCGUGGAAAAUAAGUUGGCAUUAUGCCAAUUUCCACAUUCAUACAUAUAAAGGAAGCAAGAGCAAGUCAAUAUACUUUGUAAUCUCAUCAAUUCUUCUUCUUUCUUUAGGGAGUUCAAAUGAAAUACAAAUUUUUGGUAAAUCAACUCUUCAUUUUUAUGAAUAAAAAUUAUAUGGUAGAAAGGAAGUGGUGUUAAUAAUAAUAAUAAUAAUAAAAAGAUUAACAAUAGAACACUAAUAAAGCAAUUUAGUCUAUGAUCUGCACAAUAUAUUACUACAAAUGUACCGUACAGAAUAUUGAAAGAAAACUAAUAAAGAAGUUCGAAAUUUAAACAAUGUUCCGCAAAUUAUGUUUAUGAUCUGCUGUAAAUUGAUAUGUUAAAUCAACUCUUCAUUUUUAUGAAUAAAAAUUAUAUGGUAAAAAGGAAGUGGUGUUAAUAAUAAUAAUAAAGAUCAACAAUAGAAAACUAAUAAAGCAAUUUAGUCUAUGAUCUGCAUAAUAUAUUACUACAAAUGUACCGUACAGAAUAUUGAAAGAAAACUAAUAAAGAAAUCCGAAAUUUUAACAAGGUUCCGCAAAUUAUGUUUAUGAUAUGAUGUAAAUUGAUAUGUCAAAUUUUGUGGCAAGUAAUAGAAAAUGACAAAUUCCACAUUCAUACAUAUAAAGGAAGCAAGAUCAAGUCAAUAUACUUUGUAAUCUCAUCACUUCUUCUUCUUUCUUUAGGGAGUUCAAAUGAAAUACAAAAUUUUGGUAAAUCAACUCUUCAUUUUUAUGAAUAAAAAUUAUAUGGUAAAAGGAAGUCUUGUUAAUAAUAAUAAUAAGAUUAACAAUAGAAAACUAAUAAAACAAUUUAUCCAAAUAUCAAAAUAAAUAUUAACUUUUUCAGAAACCAAAAUUAUUUUCUAAAAAUUAUUUUUUAAAAACUAUUUUUAGUGAAACAAACUGAGUCUUAGCCCAUAUUGUAAAUUAUUUUGUGGGUCUGGAAUUCUUGUACAUUAUGCUGCAAAAGAGUGAAAUUUCCUUACAGCUAGUCGAUCAAGUUUGGUUGAAAUUGAAUGCAUUGAUGUGAAAUUGAGGGAGCCUAAACAAUGUUGAUGCGAGUUUAGGUAAAAUUAGUGGAUCCCAUCUCCUUAGUAAUUUCUUUAAGGAAGUAUCUGCUUUCACACUGUGUUGACAACUUCCCACAGAUCAAAGGCCUGCAGGUAAGUCUUCAUAUUUACCAGCCAUAUGUGAAAACCUUCUCCAUUGAAGACUGGUGGGACUGCUGGUGAAAAUCCUGAAGAAGCCAUCAGGUUUCUUGAUUUGAAGCAACAGGUCCACUAAGAAAAGGGCUCUAGAUACCAAUUGUUGGUGUAAAAGGGCAGAAGCAAACUGAUUUAAGCUUGCUUAUACAGCAAGCCUCGAGCCUUGUAGAAGAAACAAUCUCAGCAGAAAGCAAAAAUGAAGCUUGCAGUUGGAAAAACAAGAAAACAAGGAGAGAAUUUGAAUGAAAAACAAGCUGAGUUGUUCAUUAACAUUACAACAAGGCAUAUUGCCAUUACAUAUAUCAGUUAACUUGUCAAAUAAACAAGUAAUCACCUAAUCAAUUACCUAACACCACUAAUAUGCAUUGAAACUUACAAAAUUAGCUUGCAAACAUUACAUUGCUGAUAUUUCAGUCAAUCAACAUCAAAAUUACACCAAAACAUUCACCUGCUUAGUUCAAUGUGAACUAGAUUACAAAAUGAUUAAAAUACAACUAAAACAACAAGUGGUUCAGUAACUUGAAGCUUCAGCUGCUGCACACCAUGGCUCGAUUGCCUGCUGCCAUUUCUUCUUGCAUGGCCACCUUUGCAUGGGAACUAAACUCAACAUACACGAACUAAUGCAAAUAUGCUAGUGGUUUAUUUUCCACCUAUCUGAUUUUUUAAAAUGUUCUUCAGUUACACCAGUUGAUGCAAUCUAUUAUUACCUGCCUCGUUGCAAAAAGGUUAGGAAAUAAAUUCACCGACAAUCAUUGGGAACUAAGAAACUUCGCAGCAAAGCUAGUGGCAUCAAUAUGCAAAAGGUGAAGAUUCUUUUCUUUUGGACUUAUACAUGCAUAUUCGUUUUUAUGAAUUUCAGGUGUCUGAGUUUUUAGUUAUAAACUUGGAUCUAUUCUUCAAAUCAUGUGUAUAUCAUUUUUAUGCUAUUUCACACUUGCAAAACAAAUGGUGCGAGCGUGCAUGUUAUAUGCAGAAUACAUAGAUUAAUUACAUGUGGAUCAUUAAGCAUGCCUAUGUUUGACGAUUGUGUGUGGCUACCUUUUUUUACAUGAUCCAAUUUUCGAUAUGCUUUGCUUUUAGGUUGAAUGCGGAAAAGAUUAGAACUUAAUUUCCAGCAUAAUGAUUUGUCUUGGAUAUGCAGAUUUUACAUGCAUUUCUUACAAGUCAAUAUUUUAUAGAUUUGGGCAUGUUUAUCACAAUCUUCAGCCACGUGUGACAAGGACACUGCUCCACGCUUUUUUGGACCCAACGAAAACAUUUCCCCAGUAUUACGGAGCAAUUCAAGGGUUAGCAGCCCUUGGACCCAGUGUGGUAUAAUUCUAAUCUCAAAUAUUUACUAGCAACACAAUAAGAUACUUGUUUGUGGGAUCAAUUGGUCAAAGAUAUUGCAAUGAUAGCCAUCUUUUUAAGCCCAUUUCUUUCAGAAAACUGUUUUGUCACUCUUUUCUGCAAGAUCCGAAGAAAGAAAGAACAUGGAAAUCUUUAGUCCAAAAGUGUAAAUAUGCGGUUUCUCUAUAGCUAUCUUGAUUAUGGCAUCUGUAAAGUUUGUCUUUCAUAUGUUUGGCUAACGCUUCUUCAUCCAUAUGUAGGUUCGUUUACUUAUACUACCAAACCUUGAAGCGUAUUUGCAGCUUCAUGAACCUGAAAUAAAAAGACACGAGGCCUGGUGUUUUUAUGGGGCCCUGCUGGUAAGUUUAACAUCAAAUUUGGUACCAGUUUACGAGCAUCAUUUCAUUUAUUUGCUAUAGAACUAACAACACUGCAUAAAAUUUCCACUAAAAGCGUGCAGCUGGACUGUGCAUGUAUGAUCGGCUUAAAAUGUUCCCCAGUUUGCUAGCACCCCCAACUCGGCCCGUCUGGAAAAGCAACAACAAAGUUGCGACAAGUAUGAUUUCUUCGAACCAUCAUAUUUACACUUAAUCCACAGGUCUCUUCUCCCCCUUUACGAUUUUCCUUUUUCUGAUCAAUCAAGAUAAACGAAAAGCAAGCACGGACGCCUUGAUGCAGCAGCAACCACCUGCGAAGAAAAUAGCAACUGAGAGUGCAAUAGGUAUGAUGCCAAUAAAUUCCAUGCAAACUGAUUUACAAGGGGCAGUUAGCAGCUUUUCUACCACCGUAGGAGGUUCCAAUAUCGGUGUAUCAUCAAUGUCACGGCCGUUAUCAAACGAUAACAUGCUAGGAAGGGAGGUUGGGGGUCGAGUUUCAAGGACAUCAACCGUUCUAGCUCAGGCUUGGAAGGAAGACACAGACCCAGGGAACUUGUUAGCAUCAUUAUUUGAACUUUUUGGUGAAAGUAUGUAAUUAAAAUAAUAUAUUGGCUUAACCCUCCUAAAUUAUGUAUUUUUUUCCAUCUUGGGACCUAAAUUUUUUUGGGGUCAUAAGUGGUACCUAAACUACAUUUUUUCUCCUUCAAAUUAGUAUCUUCAUUAAUUAAACCGUUAAGUCUAUUUAAAAAAGAAAGACUCGAACAACAAAUUAAUACCUAAACAGUGCUCUUUUUCUCAAGGUACCUAAUUUUUAUUUUGGCCAUAAGUACUACUAAAACUAUUCUUCCGUUACUCAUUUUACACCAAAAUGUUAUAUCGGCUGAAAAGAUUCCAACAAAUAAUAGAUUGUAUGUUAUAUAAACUUUUAAAAAUAAUUAUUAUUUAAUUAAUUUUUUAUAUUUUUCUUUCUUAUUCCUUUCUAAUGUUUGGCAAUGCUGAUAAUGUUUGAAAUUGUCCCACUUGAGGUCAAAAUACUGGUGAUUAAUUUUGGUUUUGAAUUUCACCACCUACUUCUUUGACCUAAGGGGAUAGAAAAUGUUCUUUUAUCGAUCAAAACUAGUAUUUUCAAAAACAGAUUGAUUCAACUGGUUGGAUAGGAAAUCGGUCUGGAAAUAAGGGUUGAAUCGAUUGACUUGCGACCAAAAACAAAUCAGUUGAACUAAGUUAAAAAAACUGGUUGAACUAGUUCUCUCCAUUUAUAUAUAUAUAAAUAAUAAUAGUCUUUUUUUGUACUAUAUGUCAAUUUUUAAUUGGUUAAUUUUUUUUUUCAUAUAAACUGAACGGUUUGACUAAUGACGGAGGUACCAAAUUAUAGUCUAGGUACCAAUUCAUGGGUUAAGCCUAUUUCUACAAUAGACUUUUGACUAAUGGCGGUAGUAACUUGGGAAAAAAAAAGUAGUUUAUGUACCACUUGUGACAAAAAAUAAGUUUAGGUACUAUCAUGGGAAAAUGAGUAUAAUUUAGAUACUAAUUUAUGAGUUAAGCCUAAUAUAUUUGCCACAUCAUUUUUUGAAAAUAACAGAACUUAAUAAAUUUAACGGUUAUUAUUUGAUGAUGACUAAAAUUUUUAAAUUUGAAAAGUACAUGAACUAAAAAUGACCAAAUUAAAGUAUAAAGAUUAAGUCCACAACUUUUGCAAAGUACAAGGACUAAUAGCAGAAAUUAACCUAAAUUUCAUAUGGGUCAAUUACAAUAAUAAUCACUAAACUAUUCCUUUGGUUCUAUUCUAGUCACUCAACUAUAGAGCUGCUCAUGAGCCGGGCCAGGUUAGGCCUAAGCAUGAUAUUAACGUACUUUAUGCUUGCUCAAGCUUGGCUCGGCCCGAAAUAUGAGCUUAAAAUUUCGCCUAAACUCAUCAAUAUUUGCAAAAGACUAACCCAAGCUCAUUUUAGGCAUGCCCAUAUAAUUUUUAGUUUUUUUUUUUUAAAUAUUUAUAUUAUAUUAUUUUAAGAAUUAAUAAUUUGAACUAUAGUAUUAUUAUAUAUUUAGUAUAAGUUUAUUUUUUAAUCUGUUCUAAAUUAUAUAAUAUAAAAUAUUAUACACUUAAAAACGGGCCGGGCUGGGCUCGAGCUUUAAAUGUUCAAGUCUUAACCCGGCCCAUAUUUUAAACGGGCUUAAUUUUUUUACCAAAACCCAAUUUUCGGGCCUAAUUUUUUUACUCAGACCCUCCCAAAUUUUGGGCUGCCCUUGGGCUUUGGCAAGUAGCCCAACUCAUGAACAAGUUUACUCAACUAUUAAUUUUUUCGAUUUAGUUGUUAACCUUUUCGAAAGUAAAUAUUUUAGUCAUUCUCCUAUUAGUUGUUGUUAAACGAGUGACGGAAAGCUGAUGUGGGCUUUUUUUAUUAGUCUAAUAACAAAUUUAGCCCUCCAAUGUUUACACAUUCUAUCAAUUUGAUCCUAGAUAUAAAAAAAUCAACAAAUUUAGCCCUGAAUGUUAACAAAACUUGUCAUUUUAGUUCAAAUUCUAAAAAAUUUAAUAAAUUUAACCCUUAAUAUUUUCAAAAAUUAGCAAUUUAGUUCUAAUUCUAAAAAUUUUAAUAUAUAUAUUUAAAAAAAUAUUUUUAAUCAUCUGUCUCACCCUUUGAUUUUUUAGAUGAGCUAAAAUCAAAAUGAGAUAAAAAAAAAUAAAAAGUUAAAAUGACUUUUCGUUUGUAAAGUUAAAAAAUGCUAAAUAAAUCAUUAUGUCUUUUUAGUUUUAAUUUUUUACUUGAUUAAAAGAGAAAUAAUUAACAAAUGAAAAAUAAUUAUUUCUAUAUAAAUUUAUCAAAAUUUAUAACAAAUGAUAUUUUAGAUUUGAAUUAUCAGACUAUAUAUAUAUAAGUAUACACAUUUUUAUGAAAUAAAAGAUUUUGCUAAAAGAAAAAGCAUCCAAUUUUAAGAAUGAAAAAUAUAUGGUAAAAGCAUCCAUAACUUUUCAAUGUUAAAGACAAAAAAGACUGUAACACCAAUGUUGUGGUAUUAUUUGUUGCCUAUAAAUACCAUUCCUAUCCUUCUUCUUCCUCUACCAACAUAACAUGGCCUCCUAUCUCUUUCUCUCCCUAUUCCUCUUCUUUCUCCAUCUUUAUGCUUCUUUUUCUUCUUCAGGAUCUCACUCCUGCUCUUCACUAAUCCAGUUUAAGGACUCCUUUUCCAUAAGAGAGGAUGCUUCUUUUGAUCAUUGCGAUUAUUUUGCUGGCCUUAAAUCUUAUCCCAAGACAAAUUCAUGGAAGGAGGGUACAGAUUGCUGCUCAUGGGAUGGGGUCACUUGUGACCACCUAAAUGCUCAUGUUAUUGCCCUUGACUUGAGCUGCAGUUGGCUAUAUGGCACCUUCCCUUCCAAUACCACUCUCUUCCUUCUUCCUCACCUUCAAAAACUCAACCUUGCCUACAAUGAUUUUAAUUCUUCCAAAAUUCCAUCCGAGUUCGGUCGGUUUACAAGCCUAUUCUACCUCAACCUUUCCAAUACAUGGUUUUCAGAAGUCCCAUCCCAAGUCUCCCACCUGUCAAAAUUGGUUUCACUUGAUCUUUCUGGGUUUGAUGAACUAUUAACAAUUGACAAAUAUGCUCUGGAGGGUCUUGUUCACAACCUAACCGAGGUCAGACGUCUGUUUUUGGAUGAAAUGGACAUGUCUUCAGUUAAUGCUCAUGUCUUCAUGAAUCUAUCCUCUUCUCUAAGGUCUCUCAGUCUUGUUGGUUGUGAUUUGCAAGGAAAAUUCCCAAAAAACAUUUUUGAUUUGCCAAACCUCAAUCUCCUCAACUUGGGAGGCAACCAAAACCUCAAUCUUGAUCCUUUGAAGUUCAAUCGGAGCAGCAAUCUUGAACAAUUGAUAAUUUCAGACGCAAAUAUUUGUGGAGGAUUGCCUGACUCGAUGGGGAAUCUUGUGUCCUUGAAGUUUUUAGUUCUCUCCCAUUCCAACUUAUCAGGACUGGUUCCAAGAUCACUGGGGAAUCUCUUGAAACUCACUCAUUUAGACUUGUCGGAGAACCAAUUGAGUGGACAAAUUCCAAGAAAAUUGGGGAACCUCUUGCAACUCACUCAUUUAGACUUGUCGAAGAACCAAUUGAGUGGACAAAUUCCAAGAUCAUUAGGGAACCUCUUGCAACUCACUCAUUUAGACUUGUGGCUGAACCAAUUGAGUGGACAGAUUCCAAGAUCAUUGGGGAACCUCUUGCAACUCACUGUUUUAGACUUGGGAUGGAACAAAUUGAGUGGACAAAUUCCAUUGUCAAUUCUAAACCUAACGCAGCUGGAAUACUUGACAAUAUCUAACAAUUCUUUAGAAGGUUCCAUUCCAGAUGAGGUAACCGCUUUUCAUAAUCUAAUAUAUUUAGACUUAUCUGACAAUUUACUCAAUGGAACACUGCCGUCAUGGUUGUAUACUGCUCCCUCCUUAAAGACAAUAUAUCUCUCUCAAAAUCAAUUCAGUGGGCAUAUCAAAGAAUUCCAAUCCAAAUCACUAGAAUGGAUAUGGUUAGAGAAUAAUAAACUCCAAGGUCCUCUUCCAUCUUCAAUAUUCCAACUUCUCAAUCUUACCCAACUUAGCUUAUCCUCAAAUUAUCUUAGUGGUGUCAUAGAGUUUCGCAUGUUCUCAAACCUUCCAAAUCUCGAAUAUCUUGACCUUUCAUAUAACAGCCUAUCCUUAACAUCUAAUACAACUUCUACUGUUAAUCUUACAAGCUUAUUUUUGUCAUCUUGCAAUCUUAGUGAAUUCCCCCAAUUUUUAAAAGGGCUUAAAAGUUUGGAAAGCUUAGACCUCUCUUGCAACAAAAUUGAAGGCAAGAUUCCACAGUGGAUGCGAGAGGUGGGGAAUGGCUCUUUGACUCACUUAAAUGUAUCUCACAACACUUUGACAGAAGUUGAGCACUUUCCAUGGAAGAAUAUUGAUGUUCUUGACUUAAGCUCCAAUUUGAUCAGUGGAAAUCUUCCGAUUCCAGCUUCGACCAUAAGAGUCUUUUUGAUCUCAAAUAAUAGUUUCAAUGGAGAGGUCUCUUCUUUAAUAUGCAAUGCCGCUUUUCUUGAAAUUCUUGAUUUGUCCCACAAUAACUUGAGUGGAACAAUUCCACAAUGUUUUGGAAAUUUGAGCAACAGCCUUCUAUUCUUGAAUCUGAAGAAGAACAAGUUUUAUGGGACGAUUCCUCCAGCAUUUGCAAAGGGAUGCCGAUUGAGUAAUUUCAACUUAAAUGGAAAUCUGUUAGAAGGGCCUUUGACACCAUCCAUGAUCCAUCCUUAAUUGUAAUGGUCUGGAAGUGCUAGAUCUUGGUAACAACAAGAUCAAUGAUACAUUUCCUCAUUGGUUGGGAAGUCUUCCACAGCUACAAGUUCUUGUAUUGAAGUCAAAUCAACUGCAUGGUUCCUUAUGUGUCAAUAGCUCCAAGUCUAUCCCUUUUUUCUCUAAAAUCCAAAUUUUUGAUCUCUCAAGUAAUUAUUUUUCUGGACCCCUACCAGUGAGAUACAUCAACAGCUUCAAGGCUAUCAUAAAUCUAGAGAAGAUUGGGAGUACAAUGUCGUACAUGGGGGUGUAUGCUCAGAGAGGUAGUGCCUUCUAUACCCAUUCCAUUGGAAUUGUUAUGAAAGGACAAGAUAGGGAAUUGGUGAAAAUUUUCACCAUGUGGAUGAUCAUUGAUCUAUCAAACAAUCAGUUUCAAGGGGGUAUUCCAAAGGUUAUUGUGAAGCUUAACUUGCUGAAAGGGCUCAACCUUUCUCAUAAUAACCUUAAUGGUGGUAUCCCCACCUCAAUAGGGAAUUUGACAAGUCUUGAAUGGUUAGACCUAUCUUCAAACAGUUUGUCUGGGACGAUUCCAAAUAGAUUGGCAGAUCUGCCAUUUCUUUCGUCCUUCAAUGUUUCUGAAAAUCAACUCCAUUGUCAGAUUCCUCAAGGCAAACAGUUCAACACAUUUGGAAAUGAUUCAUAUGAAGGAAACAAGGGAUUAUGUGGAUUUCCGGUCUCAAAAGGUUGCAACAUCAUUGAGCCAGCACCUCUAAAUGUGCUUGAAAAAGAUGGCUCAAAAUCAAACAUUACUUUUGGUUGGAAAGUGGUGUUGAUAGGUUAUGGAUGCGGAGUGGUGUUCGGAAUGUCCGUGGGAUAUGUUGUUUUCCAAACUGGUAAGCCGAAAUGGUUGGUGAAUUUGGUUGAAAUCCAACAUGAGAAGAAGCGAAGAAGAAAGUCAAAGGAUGGCAGUCGCAGCAAUGGAUGAAGAAGGAUCUAGUUAGUGGAAAUGAUGUUCAAGUGUUGAUGUUGUAUCUUCAUAAUUUCUUGUUUUGAAGUCUUUCAAUUUUUUUCCUAUGGUGAAAGGUUGCAUUGCCAUGCAUCUGUCUUUACUUUUGUAACAAUUCAUCUGUCAUAAUAUUAUAGAUUUUAUUGAUUUUAAUUUUUUCUCUAAUUUUUAAUAAAAAUAGGGGCAUAAUUGCUUUUUUUUUUUAAGUUUGAGAGUAUUUUUUAUGCAUUUUGAAAGUUCAAGUACCAAAUUGAGUGCAAAAAAAAAAAGAGUAGGGGCUUAAUUACUUUUUUUGAAAAUGUUUGAGAGCUUUUUUGAUGUAUCAAAUGAAAUACAAAUUUUGAGUAAAUCAACUAUUCAUUUUUAUGAAUAAAAAUUAUAUGGUAAAAAGGAAGUAGUGUUAAUAAUAAUAAAAAAGAUCAACAAUAGAAAACUAAUAAAGCAAUUUAGCCUAUGAUCUGCGCAAUAUAUUACUACAAAUGUACUGUACAAAAUAUUGAAGAAAACUAAUAAAGAAAUCUGAAAUUUUAACAAGUUCCGCAAAUAAUGUUUAUGAUUUGCUGUAAAUUGAUAUGUCAAAUUAGGCUCUCCAUCACACUUAAAAGUUUAUUUUCGAGCAAUUUAGAUAUCUUUGUUGCGUUUUUAUUUUGUUUUAGUUGUUUAUAUUAAUAAAUGAUUAGUGUGCAUUUUGAUGCUAUUUUAAGACCUGAGAUGGCCAAAUGGCACCCGGGGAAUCUAAUGAGGUUGGUGAGUGAUGCAGAGAGCCCAUGGUGGCCCGGAAGGAACGAAAAUGUUACCUAGAAAGAGGGUAUCGCAUUUCAAAGCAUGAAAGUCGUAAUACCCAUAACAAUGUUAAAAACAAGGAAGAUUGAGCCAUCAACAAUGUUAUCGUGAUACCGGUCAUAAGAUAUCGCGAUACCCAAAACUUCCAAGGAUCCCCCAAGACUGUUGUGGAUAUCGCGAUACCAAACUUUGGGUAUCGCAAUAUCAUUGAUGAGAGGAGACAAAAUAUAACUGUAGGGGUAAUCCUUUUCCAACAUGUGGAAUGGCCAUGGGAUGUGUUGUUUUCCAAACCGGUAAGGCGAAAAGGUUCGUGAAUUUGGCUGAAGACCAACAUGAGAAGAGGCGAAGAAGAAAGCCAAAAUAUAGCAAUCGCAUCAAUGGAUGAAGAAGGAUCUAGUUGGUUCAAAUGAAGUUAAAGCAUUUGUGCUGUGUCUUCAUAAUUUCUUGUUUAGUAGUCUGUCAGAAAGUUUUUCCUAUGGUGAAAAGUUGCAUUGCUAUGUGUCUGUUUUUAUGAUUGUACCAAUUCCUCUGUAUUUCAUUGCAUUUCGUACUAUUUGUAAGGGUUUAGUUCAGUGUAACAUCUUGUAUGGUGCAACUAUGUAUGUCUUCUUUCUUGAAUUUCAACUUUUAGUAAACAUUAUACUGCUCACCAUAAAAAAAAUACAUGUAGAAUUACAAAAGAUUCAAUUAUUCAAGUUUGAGUUGCAUUUAUAAACAUGUGAUGAUGAGAAUUCAUGAACAAAAGGUAUGGUUUGAGCCCUUUUGCAAUAUGCGUUUAUGUUGCAUUUACCUAUAUAUCUAUCGACAAAUUUAAGAGUAAUAUUUACAAUAGCAUUGCAGAGUAACAUAUUUACGAUUGGAUUACACAGUCAAAAGAUUGCAGCAACGAUGAGAUUAAUCCAAUUACAGGAAUUGAUAUCCUAAAUGGCUUUUAGGUACGUAGCUUCAUUGACGGUACAAACUAGUUAAAAUUUCCAGAAUUCAUGUCUUUGUUUUCCCUCAAGUAAACGUAGUCAAUACUGCAAAUGGUGUGGAAGUAUUGUACAUUGUGGCCCAAAUGUCCAAAAUUUCCACAUUGCUUGUAAAUUAAGUGAUGAAAACCAAAACUGUUUGAGGCAUCCAAUUACCCACAGAGAUAGGAAGUAAGGACGCAUGUAUAAUUAUUAUCAUUAAUUAAAGCAUAUAUAAUUACAUUAAAUAUAGGAUAAACUAUAAAAAUAAUCACUUUUAUUUACCUCAUAUUACAUUUUAGUCACUUAUGUUUGAAAUGUUACAUUUUGGUCACUUACGUUAUCGUUUUGGUACGAAGUGGUCACUCUACCGUUAAGCUCCGUUACCUCCCUAACGGCGAUUCUACGUGAUAGUCCAAAUGAGUUUUAAAUGCCAACUUAAAUGUCUUGCGUGGCUGUCUAAAUUAAAUUUAUUUAAUUAAAAACUUAUUUUCAUCUCAACAACCGGACAUUCAAGUUCGCAUUUAAAACCCAUUUAGACUGCCACGUAGGACUGCCGAUAGGGAGGUAACAGAGUUUGAUAGUAGAGUAACCACUUCAUAACAAAACGAUAAUGUAAGUGGCUAAAACAUAACAUUUCAAACAUAAGUAAUUAAAAUAUAAUAUAAGGUAAACAAGCCUUAAAUAUAUAAAUUACUAUGAUUACUAUCAAGAUAGCAUUGACCUGUUCAACAGGCGGAACCAAUAGAUCUGACCAUUUGGUGACUCUAGCAGUCGAUAAGUGUGAGUGGCAGACUGUGCAACUUGUAACUAUGUUAAUUGAUGAAAAGCUUUUUGAUAGAAGAUAAUAAACUAGUGGCAAUGGCAAACGGUUCCAAGACGAGGUGGGACACCGAGGCUUUGUGUAACAGGGGAAUAGAUGCACUCAAUGCUGGCGGCUGUUGACUUGUAUUUCUCUCUAACAAUUUAAAUCACCAGCUUGCUUCAUCCAUCUAUAAAUAAGGGUCUUCUUCAGUUUCAUAAAUGCAUAGAAAAUUAACAAGCUCAAAUUCCUUCUUUUCAUAUUCAUCUCUUUUACUUUGAAUUGCAACUUUAUCCUGCCUAAAUUCCUCAACCAUGAACCACCCAUCAGGACAGCCUCAAAAUGAACUUCCUUGGUCCGCCGGAUUCUGCGAUUGUUGCUCUGACCUGAAAACUUG